Molecule: long non-coding RNA, 1119 nt
Filed under: Felis catus (domestic cat)
Lineage: Eukaryota; Metazoa; Chordata; Mammalia; Carnivora; Felidae
Description: lncRNA (ENSFCAG00000051210.1)
Source: RNAcentral
GGAAUUUCUUUUGUUUCCUAGAAAUUUAUCUUUGUCUAUUGUAGAGAUCAGUUUCUCUUUUCGGUAUUAAUUACUAGAAUAGAAGCGAAAUCCGUAGGUAAGGAAACUAAUCAUACAGUUUCAAGGCUUAAGUUGAUGACACAUGUAUACCCAAUCUGAGUAGCCCUCAACAGCAUGAGCUUUGAGUUCUCAAAGGUCUGAGCUCCCUUUCCUUCUAUGGCUUUGGGAAUAGACGAGUUAGCCUAUAAUAUCUAAAUGCCUACAUGGCCUCUAAAGCUGGCAUGGUGGGCAAAUUGAAACAGGCCAGCUGCAUGACACUGCUUACCUGCUGUGGGUCACAAUUGCAGUCAGAUGUCUCCAUGGUGACCUCUCUGAGCCAUGAGGCCGGAACUGUGGGAUUAACAUCCCACGACUGGAGCAACCACAGUGCUGAGAACAGCUUUGACUACUGUGGUUCCAGGGAGAAACUUUGCCAGGACCCACGUAUGGGCACAGCUGUUUUCCCUGAUCAGGAUCUUUGCAGCACCCAACACACAGCAAACCAGAUGAUAAGAGGAGCUGACCAGCAGAGACUGCCAUCAUUUUAUGUUGGCAGAUACAUUAAGUGGCAGAUGCCUGAAAGGAAAAAUGAAAAAAAAAAAAAAAAAAAAAAAACUUUGAGAAAAGCAGGCGGUGACGUAAGACCUCAAAUCUCAGAGACCCAGAGCAAUUUCAUUUCAGGAGGAGCAACCCUAAGUGGCUUCUGCAGUCAUCACCCUAUUUCAGCGCCGUAUGAUAACUGACUUAAUGACCCUCAAAUGCUGGGGCUGAGAAGAUACCUUAGGGAUCAAGUCCAACACUCCCAAUUUACAGAUGGGGAAGUGGAGGCUAGAGAAGCCUUGAGGGCCCAGUUCAGGAUCAUAGCUGGCUAGUGGUGGAGCUCCCAUUGGAACCAGGAUCCCCUGACCCCAAUGCAUUUUUUCUUGAAAAAAAAAAAAAAAAAAACGGUUGAAGCCUCAUUGCUUAAACCCAACGAUUGAAUGAGAUAAUGUACAGAAGGUUAGCACUCAGACACAGAAAGAGAGCCAAGUUUCGUCAGUGAUUGUGAAUAAAAAAUCUGAUAUAAAGAAUGGUUGAGCA